Ostrea edulis (European flat oyster) is the source of this 586-nucleotide long non-coding RNA. RefSeq lists it as uncharacterized. The record is from RefSeq and is a predicted model, not a curated record. The transcript has 2 exons. NCBI's taxonomy places the organism in Eukaryota, Metazoa, Mollusca, Bivalvia, Ostreida, Ostreidae.
AAGAUAAACAAACCACUCGCAUAUAUAUCUGUAUUUGAGCAGAACACACAUGUACAUCUAUAAUUAGACUAUUAAUCAUGAUUUUUUUAUUAUUUUUUUUUAAGAUAUAAAUCCUUGGAUUACAUCUGACAGAAUAUUCUGUUUGGCUUCCAUGAAGAAAACCAGGUAUAGUGUGCAUGUGUUUGCUAGAGAGGAAAAAAGUAUGCUAUGCAUACUGUGAAUGUCCUUUUGGGUAAGAGAUAAGUUUUGAUCUGGAUCAACAAACCUAUUUAUAAUAUAUUUUGUUCUAAAACUCUACUGGUAUUUACAGGUACAUUUAACUUUUAAAACUCCUUGGAUUCAAUAUAGUCUAGCACAUUCCUGCAGCCAUGCACCAAGCUGAGUAAUGAAUGGGAGGUGGAGUUCAGGGAGAGGAAAAUAAUCAACAAUAUGUCAUCCUCAGAUCCUAAUAAAAAAUCUUGAUCUGGCUAGCUCCAUGCAGCAUUGAAAGCUGCUAAAAGAGUUGUUUCCCAAAACUGAUGUGGAAUAUCACUGACAAAGCUCCUGACAUCAUGGAAAGUGAGGUGAAAGUUGGUGUGACUGAGAA